CGGCGGACGGGUGAGUAAUGCCUAGGAAUCUGCCUGGUAGUGGGGGACAACGUUUCGAAAGGAACGCUAAUACCGCAUACGUCCUACGGGAGAAAGCAGGGGACCUUCGGGCCUUGCGCUAUCAGAUGAGCCUAGGUCGGAUUAGCUAGUUGGUGAGGUAAUGGCUCACCAAGGCGACGAUCCGUAACUGGUCUGAGAGGAUGAUCAGUCACACUGGAACUGAGACACGGUCCAGACUCCUACGGAAGGCAGCAGGC
RNAcentral lists this ribosomal RNA (257 nucleotides) under uncultured Pseudomonas sp. Its description in RNAcentral is "partial 16S ribosomal RNA". It matches the Rfam family "Bacterial small subunit ribosomal RNA", at positions 96 to 354 of the family's 1533-position model. The record is from RNAcentral. Lineage: Bacteria; Pseudomonadati; Pseudomonadota; Gammaproteobacteria; Pseudomonadales; Pseudomonadaceae.